CCACUGCAGAGCGUGCGGCGGGCCAAGACGCACACCCUGCCGCAGGCCUUGCCGCAGGCCCUGCCCGUCGAGCCACCGCCCACCAAGUACUUGGAAGAUGAUAGUACGGUAGGGGAGAAGCUGCUCGCAGACUUUGCCAGCCAGACUGACGAGUCGCUUCUUGCGAGAUCAGCUUCGCUGCAAAGCCAGAAGGAUUCUCGAUCUCUUGGAAAGGGACUCAAAGAAAGUGAAGACACGUUAACAGAUGUAUUGGGCUUCAUCUGACCUUGAUGAUUGGUAGUUUGACAGUGUGUGUGUGUAUCAGUCAGUUUGUUAUGAGAAUAUGGGGUAGAAUCCCCACUUCCUUUUUUCACUACUUUCAUGUUACAAUUUUAAUUCGGACUGCAAUUGACUUUUAAACUGUAAUGACCUCUUGUGUUGAAUGGUUUUAUAGUGACAAGAGUUUGCUUCCAAGAAUAAGUGGGUGAGAUAAUAAAUGAAUCAACUGCAA
This is a long non-coding RNA of Thrips palmi, 490 nucleotides long. RefSeq lists it as uncharacterized. The transcript has 2 exons. The record is from RefSeq and is a predicted model, not a curated record. NCBI's taxonomy places the organism in Eukaryota, Metazoa, Arthropoda, Insecta, Thysanoptera, Thripidae.